Molecule: long non-coding RNA, 154 nt
Organism: Leptinotarsa decemlineata (Colorado potato beetle)
Lineage: Eukaryota; Metazoa; Arthropoda; Insecta; Coleoptera; Chrysomelidae
Source: RefSeq, a predicted model, not a curated record
GCCUACCUCUGGUAAUGCGGGGCUCUGUCAGAGGCUUUCGAUACCCUCUAAAACAUUUUCAUGGGCGCCACUCGAGGGAAUUCCGUUACAAUCAUUUAGUCACCAGUUCCGGCAACUGCGUCACAAAGUAGCAAUGAACGGACCAACGCAAGGU